GAUGAAGAACGUAGCGAAAUGCGAUAAGUAAUGUGAAUUGCAGAAUUCAGUGAAUCAUCGAAUCUUUGAACGCACAUUGCGCCCCCUGGUAUUCCGGGGGGCAUGCCUGUCCGAGCGUCAUUUCAACCCUCAAGCUCUGCUUGGUGUUGGGCCCUGCCCGCUGCGGCCGGCCCUAAAGACAGUGGCGGUGCCGCCUGGCCCUGAGCGUAGUACAUCUCUCGCUCCAGUGCCCGGUGGUAGCCUGCCAGAACCCCAACUCUCGUGGUUGACCUCGGAUCAGGUAGGGAUACCCGCUGAACUUAAGCAUAUCAAUAAGCGGAGGA
RNAcentral lists this unclassified non-coding RNA (323 nucleotides) under soil metagenome. RNAcentral's name for it is "partial contains 5.8S ribosomal RNA, internal transcribed spacer 2, and large subunit ribosomal RNA". The stretch from base 1 to 120 matches the Rfam family "5.8S ribosomal RNA", at positions 35 to 154 of the family's 154-position model. The record is from RNAcentral.